Molecule: ribosomal RNA, 577 nt
Filed under: uncultured bacterium
Lineage: Bacteria
Description: bacterial SSU rRNA
Rfam family: Bacterial small subunit ribosomal RNA
Source: RNAcentral
CCUACGGGAGGCAGCAGUAGGGAAUAUUGGACAAUGGGUGCGAGCCUGAUCCAGCCAUGCCGCGUGCAGGAAGACGGCCUUCUGGGUUGUAAACUGCUUUUGCCAGGGGAUAAAAAGUCCCUGCGGGGAAAAUUGAAGGUACCUGGUGAAUAAGCCACGGCUAACUACGUGCCAGCAGCCGCGGUAAUACGUAGGUGGCAAGCGUUGUCCGGAUUUAUUGGGUUUAAAGGGUGCGUAGGUUGUUUUGUAAGUCAGUGGUGAAAUCCGGCAGCUCAACUGUCGAUGUGCCAUUGAUACUGCAGAACUUGAGUACAGACGAGGUAGGCGGAAUUGACGGUGUAGCGGUGAAAUGCUUAGAUAUCGUCAAGAACACCGAUAGCGAAGGCAGCUUACUAGACUGUAACUGACACUGAUGCACGAAAGUGUGGGGAUCAAACAGGAUUAGAUACCCUGGUAGUCCACACUGUAAACGAUGAUUACUCGAUGUUGGCGAUACACAGCCAGCGUCUUAGCGAAAGCGAUAAGUAAUCCACCUGGGGAGUACGCCCGCAAGGGUGAAACUCAAAUGAAUUGACGG